Molecule: ribosomal RNA, 287 nt
Filed under: uncultured bacterium
Lineage: Bacteria
Description: partial 16S ribosomal RNA
Rfam family: Bacterial small subunit ribosomal RNA
Source: RNAcentral
GUGGAUUAGAUACCCUGGUAGUCCACGCCGUAAACGAUGAGUGCUAGGUGUCGGGGGUCGAACCUCGGUGCCGCAGUUAACGCAUUAAGCACUCCGCCUGGGGAGUACGUACGCAAGUAUGAAACUCAAAGGAAUUGACGGGGACCCGCACAAGCAGCGGAGCAUGUGGUUUAAUUCGAAGCAACGCGAAGAACCUUACCUGGACUUGACAUCCCUCGGACCGCUUUUUAACCAAAGCCUUCCCUUCGGGGACUGAGGUGACAGGUGGUGCACGGCCGUCGACAGCU